RNAcentral lists this ribosomal RNA (385 nucleotides) under uncultured bacterium. RNAcentral describes it as "bacterial SSU rRNA". It matches the Rfam family "Bacterial small subunit ribosomal RNA", at positions 29 to 415 of the family's 1533-position model. The record is from RNAcentral.
AUUGAACGCUGGCGGCAUGCUUUACACAUGCAAGUCGAACGGUAACAGGGAGCUUGCUCCGCUGACGAGUGGCGAACGGGUGAGUAAUGCAUCGGAACGUACCCAGUCGUGGGGGAUAACGUAGCGAAAGUUACGCUAAUACCGCAUACGUCCUGAGGGAGAAAGCGGGGGACCGUAAGGCCUCGCGCGAUUGGAGCGGCCGAUGUCGGAUUAGCUGGUUGGUAGGGUAAAGGCCUACCAAGGCGACGAUCCGUAGCGGGUCUGAGAGGAUGAUCCGCCACACUGGGACUGAGACACGGCCCAGACUCCUACGGGAGGCAGCAGUGGGGAAUUUUGGACAAUGGGCGAAAGCCUGAUCCAGCCAUGCCGCGUGAGUGAAGAAGGC